GACGAACGCUGGCGGCGUGCCUAAUACAUGCAAGUAGAACGCAGUUGCGAACGGGUGAGUAACGCGUAGGUAACUGCCUCAUAGCGGGGGAUAACUAUUGGAAACGAUAGCUAAUACCGCAGACUGUGAGAUGGACCUGCGUUGUAUUAGCUAGUUGGGGAGGUAAAGGCGCACCAAGGCGACGACACAUAGCCGACCUGAGAGGGUGAUCGGCCACACGGGGACUGAGACACGGCCCAGACUCCGACGGGAGGCAGCAGUGGGGAAUAUUGCACAAGGGGCGCAAGCCUGAUGCAGCCAUGCCGCGUGUAUGAAGAAGGCCUUCGGGUUGUAAAGUACUUUCAGCGGGGAGGCGUUACCCGCAGAAGAAGCACCGGCUAACUCCGUGCCAGCAGCCGCGGUAAUUC
RNAcentral lists this ribosomal RNA (407 nucleotides) under uncultured bacterium. RNAcentral describes it as "partial 16S ribosomal RNA". It matches the Rfam family "Bacterial small subunit ribosomal RNA", at positions 28 to 526 of the family's 1533-position model. The record is from RNAcentral.